AGUGAACGCUGGCGGUAGGCCUAACACAUGCAAGUCGAACGGCAGCACAGUAAGAGCUUGCUCUUACGGGUGGCGAGUGGCGGACGGGUGGGGAAUACAUCGGAAUCUACUUUUUCGUGGGGGAUAACGUAGGGAAACUUACGCUAAUACCGCAUACGACCUACGGGUGAAAGCAGGGGAUCUUCGGACCUUGCGCGAUUGAAUGAGCCGAUGUCGGAUUAGCUAGUUGGCGGGGUAAAGGCCCACCAAGGCGACGAUCCGUAGCUGGUCUGAGAGGAUGAUCAGCCACACUGGAACUGAGACACGGUCCAGACUCCUACGGGAGGCAGCAGUGGGGAAUAUUGGACAAUGGGCGCAAGCCUGAUCCAGCCAUACCGCGUGGGUGAAGAAGGCCUUCGGGUUGUAGAGCCCUUUUGUUGGGAAAGAAAAGCAGCAGGUUAAUACCCCGCUGUUCUGACGGUACCCAAAGAAUAAGCACCGGCUAACUUCGUG
Molecule: ribosomal RNA, 492 nt
Filed under: uncultured bacterium
Lineage: Bacteria
Description: partial 16S ribosomal RNA
Rfam family: Bacterial small subunit ribosomal RNA
Source: RNAcentral